Cucumis sativus (cucumber) is the source of this 514-nucleotide long non-coding RNA. RefSeq lists it as uncharacterized. The transcript has 3 exons. NCBI's taxonomy places the organism in Eukaryota, Viridiplantae, Streptophyta, Magnoliopsida, Cucurbitales, Cucurbitaceae. The record is from RefSeq and is a predicted model, not a curated record.
CCCAUCAGCAGCAUUACUAUGCAAAACAACAGGCAGAAUAUAUCAUACAGCAGGCUGAUGCAGAUAAAGAUGGACGUCUCACCUUGGCAGAAAUGAUCGAUCAUCCUUACGUAUUUUACAGUGCCAUUUUCAACGAAGAUGAUGAGGACGAUUAUGAUUUCCACGAUGAGUUUCGUUAAGUUUUUUCAUGAAUAGUCGAAUAGUCAGAUAGGAUUAGCAGUAGAGAAAACGGAGUUCUUUCGCAGCAUGGAAUCGGGAUACAGAGUUUGAAGUCUUAGGCAACAACUUGGAGGAGAUCUCUCUGGCAUGGUGGUCAGAACUGGGUUAAACUUCUUCAGCCAUGGCUCGCCCAUAUGGUGGUAUCCCUCUUUUUGUAGCAUAUGAAACCCCCAUCUUGUCUAAGAUAACAAUGGUUUCACACCUUAGAUUAUAGACAUUUAUUUGCAAAUAGUUUUGUUAAGUUCAAUGUCCUUGGUAUAGAAUUACCAUUUAAUUGUUAUUUGUUACUAAUUUA